Long non-coding RNA from Corticium candelabrum, 179 nucleotides. RefSeq lists it as uncharacterized. Lineage: Eukaryota; Metazoa; Porifera; Homoscleromorpha; Homosclerophorida; Plakinidae. The record is from RefSeq and is a predicted model, not a curated record. The transcript is spliced from 3 exons.
UUGAAAACGCCUUUCACAAAGCCUUCAGCUCUGCCAAUCUUUUCAGCACCUUCUUUUGCGGAAAACGUCUUACAGAAGAAUCAGAUUCUAGAAAGGGCGUAAACGUUUGCGUGUCGUCGAGGCAUUCGUUUACUAUUGUUUACGAAGACUUCGGUAGGUUUUGCCAAAUCUCAGCAUGA